Molecule: long non-coding RNA, 5119 nt
Filed under: Brassica napus (rape)
Lineage: Eukaryota; Viridiplantae; Streptophyta; Magnoliopsida; Brassicales; Brassicaceae
Description: long non-coding RNA (BNAP_LNC003854)
Source: RNAcentral
CAGCAUUCAAAGUCAGCACAAGAAGGAAGUGAAGAGGUUAUGACUGAUAAUAACAGUAGCCUUGAAAAUGCCGAUGGUCCACCUGGAAAUUUAGCAGGUCCUGGCAAGAAAAGCACGAGGCUUUACGAGCUGCUUCAGUUGGAACGGUGGGAUGGAGAAGAAGUGGGACUUAAACAUUCUGUAAGUGAUAUGACCAAUCAGGUUGAAGAUGCAUCAACUUCAGGUGGAAAUGAUCCGUGUACCACAGAGAACACCGUUCUUGAUGAGAUUCCAAACUCAGGGCAAAUCCAUGGGACUAAAAAAUCACAGAUAAGCUCAAAGAUAAGAAGAAUGUAUCAAAAACAAAAGUCUUUACGGAAAAAGCUGUUCCCAUGGAGUUAUGAUUGGCACAGGGAAGAAGAAGGGACGACUUGCGUUGAAGAGAAGAUCGUAGAGUCAUCAGGACCGAUUAGGAGACGCUGGUCAGGAACCGUAGACCAUGAUGAUGUGCUAAGAGCAAUGGCAAGAGCACUAGAAAGCACUGAGGAGGCUUACAUGGAAAUGGUGGAGAAGUCCCUUGACAUAAACCCGGAGCUUGCGUUAAUGGGUUCAUGUGUUCUCGUAAUGCUAAUGAAGGAUCAAGAUGUUUACGUCAUGAAUGUUGGUGAUAGUCGAGCUAUCUUGGCUCAGGAAAGGCUCCAUGAUCGUCAUUCUAAUCCAGGGUUUGGAGUUGAGGAAGGUAUGGGGCAUAAGAGUAGGUCGAGAGAGUCGCUAGUGCGUAUGGAACUAGAUAGAAUAUCAGAAGAAUCUCCAAUACACAAUCUAACCACUCAGAUUAGUGUCUCGAACAAAAACAGAGAUGUGACUUCUUACCGGUUAAAGAUGAGAGCUGUUCAACUCUCAAGUGACCAUAGCACAAGUGUGGAAGAGGUAAACUAAGUUUAUGAUUUGCCAAAUUCAAUCAUAGCUCUCUGAUUUGUUUAUGUGUUUUCAGGAAGUUUCGAGAAUUAGAUCCGAACAUCCAGAAGAUGAGCAGUCCAUACUCAAAGACAGAGUCAAAGGCCAGCUCAAAGUCACCAGAGCUUUCGGUGCUGGUUUUCUCAAAAAGGUAAGAGAGACAAAUCCUCCUCAAAACUUUCAUAACCAAAGUACUUUCCGUCUCUGAAUAAUUAAUGUUGUUUGCAGCCGAGUUUCAACGAAGCUUUGCUUGAGAUGUUCAGAGUAGACUACAUUGGAACAGAUCCGUACAUCAGCUGCGAACCGUGUACUGUCCAUCACAGGCUCACUUCAAGCGAUCGGUUCUUGGUUUUAUGCUCUGAUGGACUGUAUGAAUACUUCAGCAACGAAGAGAUAGUUGCUCACGUGACUUGGUUCAUUGAAAACGUUCCUGAUGGUGAUCCUGCUCAAUACCUCAUUGCAGAGCUUCUCUCUCGUGCAGCCACCAAGAACGGUAACAGUUUUGAACAUCAAAUGAUCAUCGGUUUUGGUUGACCUUGUGAAAAUGAAACCAGCGUUUCCAUGUGAUGUGUGUAUAUUGCAGGGAUGGAGUUUCAUGAUCUGUUGGAUAUACCUCAAGGAGAUAGAAGGAAGUACCAUGAUGAUGUCUCUGUGAUGGUUGUGUCUCUUGAAGGAAGGAUUUGGCGAUCGUCUGGACAAUAUUAUCCUGAGAGAAAACCAAAAUUCAAUAGAUGAAUUUAACAACCAGUUGAACAAAAAAAAAAAAAGUUAAGGUGUAAUUGGGUUAUUGUUUUUAAACAAUCUUUCAAUUUCGAAAAAGUAAAAGAAGGAAAGGUCUAAGUCUAUUUAUAUUGCUUCCAUAACCUCAUCUUUGUUUUCAAUAGAAGGUUAGAUAAAAUUGGUUAAAUGUAGAUGAUAAUUCGAGAAAUUGAUAGGCGGUAACUAAUUGUUUUAUAAAGAAUUAUUGACUAAGCGGAUUAUUUGGGGUUUAGGUGUUAACUGAUAUUGAUAUAUAUUUACAUAUAUGUUAAAUAUUUUAUUUUUUUGCUCAGUUAUAAAUUUGUUUUGAUGAACUAUAAAAACUAGUAUAGAAAAAAUAUUUACACAAAUUUAUGGAUUUGUACUAAUAUUAUUAGUUAAUUAAAUAAAUUUAGAUCAGUUUUUAACUCUUUAUACUAACGGAUUAAACUGAUUUUAAUUGUAUAAAUCGGAUAUUUUAAAAAUUGUACAAAUCUCUUUCUAUUGCUUCUGCAUCCAUGAUCUUGUUCUCAACACAACAACUAACAUCAUAAAGGUUUAAGGUUUCUUAUUUAUUAUCAUUGGAGUCUCUGAGAGAGAAAGAGGGUUUCUAUCCAUAUCACUUUUGGAGUCUCUGAGCGAGAAAGAGGUUUUGUCACUCAACUUCGUCUCUUGGUCGGUUAUAGAGUCAGGCGCGUAUGAGUCGUUGUGAGCCGUUAAUUCACGGAUAUUUCGUCUUUAUAUUUAUUAUUUCAUAAUAUGUAAGAACAUAUAAUACAUAAAAUAAUUUAUAUAUAUAAUGUUUAUUCCGCGCAAGGCGCGGAUCUUAAUCUAGUAAUAAUAGUAUAGUUUAAACAAAACUUUUGUGAUGAACACAUGGACUUCCUAUAUAAUAGCCAACCGAGUCUUCAAAAUAUUCAUAUAGAACAAACACCACAUUCCUAAUUCCAUAAAAAAAAAAAAAAACUUAAGAACAUUACAAAAAAAGAACGAAAUAAUUUUCUUUAAAAAUAAGAAUAAAAAUCGGUGUGAAUAAAAAAGGGACCCCACAGAGAAACUUCAACCCAUGCAAAGGGUCCAUGGACGAGAGAACAAUAAUGACGUGAAUCACCUGUAAUUGUAUACCUCCAAUCAUUUGCAAACCCCAUAAAUAUAAAUCCUAAAAGCUUUCAUUUCAUUUUUGUAAAAAAACGCGAAUAAUAUAAAAAAGAAAAAUAAAAACCCUUAAAAGACGGUCUUCACUUUUUGCAUAUUUCAACGCAAUUGCUAGAAAUUUUUACUCUGUUUUCCUUUUUCUAUUUGUUUAUUUUUUUUUCUCAUUGUUAUUUUUUUUUUCUUACCCUCCCAAACCAUUUGAAAACCCCGAGAAAUAGAGAAACACACACCUCUUUUUUCUCCUCUGCUUCACCGAUGAGCUAAUUAGAAAUUAACAAAAGCUGAAAUCAUCAUUUUUAGCAGUUUCAAAAUCAGUUUCAAAAAUCAAAACCAAACCCAUUUCAGUUUCAAGCUUCUUGGUCCUCUUCAGCUCCUUUGGAUUCUCGUUUCUUGUCGAUUCUGAAUCUCGGUUUCUCCGUACAUCUCAAAGGAAGGGGAAAAAAAACUUUAAAACUACGGUUCUGGGUUUUAGCCUUUUUUCCCCUGAAAAGGUUGGAUCUUUAACAGCUGGUCGUAUCUGCAUGGUUCAAUCUCAAUCUGGGUCUUCCUUCCUUCUUCCCUUUUUUUUAAUUUAAUCAUUUUAAAAAUGGGUACUUUUUGUCAGAUUCUCUUACAAAUCUAAAGCUCUUGUUUUUAGUCCUUCCGAUGUGUUCUAUACACUCUCUCCUUUAGAUCUGUUUCUUGAUCCAUCUCCUUACUCAAAGCUACUGAAACAGUCUUCUUAAAGGUCAGAUCACUGUAAAGUCUCUCUCUUUUAACCUCUUUAAGCUUCAAUUUCAAGAGCUCUGAACCAAAGAUAACAUUUAGCUUAAUUUGUGUUUCAAAUGUGCAGAGAUUGAGCCUCUGAUGAUGCAAACGGCGUCGUAUCUUUGCAGGGUUGUGUUUGUUAUGUGUUGUGUUGGUGGAAAUUGCUGAAACUCUUUCUUGUCAAUGGGAUUGUGCCUUGAAGGUGUUCGUAGAAUUGCCUGAGUGAAUAAUGGGAAACGGAACUUCCCGCGUUGUCGGCUGUUUCGUGCCGUCUAACGACAAAAACGGCGUUGAUUCGGAGUUUCUUGAGCCUCUAGACGAAGGUUUAGGGCAUUCCUUUUGCUACGUUAGGCCGAGCAUCUUCGAGUCUCCGGACAUCACUCCUUCUAACUCGGAGAGGUUCACUAUUGACUCAAGCACGCUUGACUCUGAGACUCUCAGUGGAUCAUUCCGAAACGAGGUCGUGCUUGAUGAUCCUUCGUUCUUGAACAGACACAACAGUAAAGGUUUGGGGGAGACGACAUUUAAGGCGAUCUCAGGUGCUUCGGUUAGUGCCAAUGUGUCUACAGCUAGGACUGGGAAUCAAACGGCGUUGUGUUCAAGUGACGUGUUGGAGCCUGCUGCUACAUUUGAGAGCACGUCUUCUUUUGCUUCAAUUCCUUUGCAACCACUCCCUCGUGGUGGUUCCGGACCGUUGAACGGGUUCAUGUCAGGGCCUUUAGAGAGAGGUUUUGCGUCUGGUCCUUUGGAUAGAAACAAUGGUUUCAUGUCAGGGCCUAUAGAGAAAGGAGUCAUGUCUGGUCCUCUUGAUGUAUCUGAUAAAUCUAAUUUCUCGGCUCCGCUUUCUUUUAGACGUAGAAAGCCUCGGUUUCAGCGGUUUAUGAGGAGUGUAAGCGGACCAAUGAGAAGUACAUUAGCAAGAACAUUCUCCAGAAGGUCUGGAGGUGGUUUAAGCUGGAUGCAACGCUUCUUCUUGCAUCCAGAGAGUAGAGUGUCUUGGCCUGGGGGGAAAGAAGGUAAAUUACAUGGUGAAGACCACCCGGAGAGUUGUCUAGAGAGCAACCGUCACUUGCAGUGGGCUCAUGGGAGAGCUGGAGAAGACAGGGUUCAUGUUGUGCUUUCGGAGGAGCAAGGAUGGCUUUUCAUAGGGAUAUAUGAUGGGUUUAGUGGACCGGAUGCUCCGGACUUCGUGAUGAGUCAUCUGUACAAAGCUAUAGACAAGGAACUGGAAGGUCUUCUCUGGGUUUAUGACGAGCCAUCUGAAGAUAAUCCAUUGCAGCCAGACCAGGAACCUCAUUCUACUACACAGGGUAACUUGUUAGUUCCUGAAACUAUCAGUGAGCAGCAUUCAAAGUCAGCACAAGAAGGAAGUGAAGAGGUUAUGACUGAUAAUAACAGUAGCCUUGAAAAUGCCGAUGGUCCACCUGGAAAUUUAGCAGGUCCUGGCAAGAAAAGCACGAGGCUUUACGAGCUGCUUCAGUUGGAACGGUGGGAUGGAGAAGAAGUGGGACUUAAACAUUCUGUAAGUGAUAUGACCAAUCAG